AUUGAACGCUGGCGGCAGGCCUAAUACAUGCAAGUCGAACGGUAACAGGAAGCAGCUUGCUGUUUCGCUGACGCGUGGCGGACGGGUGAGAAAUGUCUGGGAAACUGCCUGAUGGAGGGGGAAAACUCCUGAAAACGGUACCUAAUACCGCAUAACGUCUCAAGACCAAAGAGCGGGACCUUAGGGCCUCUUGCCUUCGGAUGUGCCCGGAUGGGAUUAGCUAGUAGGUGGGGUAACGGCUCACCUAGGCGACGAUCCGUAGCUGGUCUGAGAGGGUGAACGGCCACACUGGAACUGAGACACGGUCCAGACUCCUACGGGAGGCAGCAGUAGGGAAUAUUCCGCAAUGGGCGAAAGCCUGAUGGAGCCAUGCCGCGUGAGUGAUGAAGGUCUUCGGAUCGUAAAAUUCUGUUAUUAGGGAGGAACGAAUUUAUGAGUAUCUCUGCACGUAUUGACGUUACCCGAACAAAAAGCCCCGGCUAACUACGUG
RNAcentral lists this ribosomal RNA (490 nucleotides) under uncultured bacterium. Its description in RNAcentral is "partial 16S ribosomal RNA". It matches the Rfam family "Bacterial small subunit ribosomal RNA", at positions 30 to 507 of the family's 1533-position model. The record is from RNAcentral.